UACCGGCGGCUCGAGUGGUGGCCGCUUUUAUUGGGCUUAAAGCGUCUGUAGCUGGAUUGUUAAGUCCCUUGGGAAAUCCGCCGGCUCAACCGGCGGGCGUCUAAGAGAUACUGGCAAUCUAGGGACCGGAAGAGGUGAGAGGUACUCCAGGGGUAGAAGUGAAAUCCUGUAAUCCCUGGGGGACCACCUGUGGCGAAGGCGUCUCACCAGGACGGCUCCGACAGUGAGGGACGAAAGCUGGGGGAGCAAACCGGAUUAGAUACCCGGGUAGUCCCAGCCGUAAACGAUGCGCGUUAGGUGUAUCGGUGACCACGAGUCACCGAGGUGCCGAAGGGAAACCGUGAAACGUGCCGCCUGGGAAGUACGGUCGCAAGGCUGAAACUUAAAGGAUUGGCGGGGAGCACCACAACGGGUGGAGCCUGCGGUUU
This 428-nucleotide ribosomal RNA is filed under the name uncultured archaeon. RNAcentral describes it as "bacterial SSU rRNA". It matches the Rfam family "Archaeal small subunit ribosomal RNA", at positions 474 to 903 of the family's 1478-position model. The record is from RNAcentral.